RNAcentral lists this ribosomal RNA (2936 nucleotides) under Priestia megaterium. RNAcentral's name for it is "23S ribosomal RNA". It matches the Rfam family "Bacterial large subunit ribosomal RNA". The record is from RNAcentral. Lineage: Bacteria; Bacillati; Bacillota; Bacilli; Caryophanales; Bacillaceae. RNAcentral also lists the same sequence under 2 other names.
GGUUAAGUUAGAAAGGGCGCACGGUGAAUGCCUUGGCACUAGGAGCCGAUGAAGGACGGGACUAACACCGAUAUGCUUCGGGGAGCUGUAAGUGAGCUUUGAUCCGGAGAUUUCCGAAUGGGGAAACCCACUGUUCGUAAUGGAACAGUAUCUUUAUCUGAAUACAUAGGAUAUUGAAGGCAGACCCGGGGAACUGAAACAUCUAAGUACCCGGAGGAAGAGAAAGCAAAUGCGAUUUCCUGAGUAGCGGCGAGCGAAACGGAAUUAGCCCAAACCAAGAGGCUUGCCUCUUGGGGUUGUAGGACACUCUAUACGGAGUUACAAAGGAACGAAGUAAAUGAAGCGACCUGGAAAGGUCCGUCGAAGAAGGUAACAACCCUGUAGUUGAAACUUCGUUCCCUCUUGAGUGGAUCCUGAGUACGGCGGAACACGUGAAAUUCCGUCGGAAGCUGGGAGGACCAUCUCCCAAGGCUAAAUACUACCUAGUGACCGAUAGUGAACCAGUACCGUGAGGGAAAGGUGAAAAGCACCCCGGAAGGGGAGUGAAAGAGAUCCUGAAACCGUGUGCCUACAAGUAGUCAGAGCCCGUUAAUGGGUGAUGGCGUGCCUUUUGUAGAAUGAACCGGCGAGUUACGAUCCCAUGCAAGGUUAAGCUGAUAAGGCGGAGCCGUAGCGAAAGCGAGUCUGAAUAGGGCGUUUAGUAUGUGGUUGUAGACCCGAAACCAGGUGAUCUACCCAUGUCCAGGGUGAAGUUCAGGUAACACUGAAUGGAGGCCCGAACCCACGCACGUUGAAAAGUGCGGGGAUGAGGUGUGGGUAGCGGAGAAAUUCCAAUCGAACCUGGAGAUAGCUGGUUCUCUCCGAAAUAGCUUUAGGGCUAGCCUCAUGUUGUGAGAGUCUUGGAGGUAGAGCACUGAUUGGACUAGGGGCCCCCAACGGGUUACCGAAUUCAGUCAAACUCCGAAUGCCAAAGACUUAUCCAUGGGAGUCAGACUGCGAGUGAUAAGAUCCGUAGUCAAAAGGGAAACAGCCCAGACCACCAGCUAAGGUCCCCAAGUAUACGUUAAGUGGAAAAGGAUGUGGAGUUGCUUAGACAACCAGGAUGUUGGCUUAGAAGCAGCCACCAUUUAAAGAGUGCGUAAUAGCUCACUGGUCGAGUGACUCUGCGCCGAAAAUGUACCGGGGCUAAACGUAUCACCGAAGCUGUGGAUUGACAUCUUAGAUGUCAGUGGUAGGAGAGCGUUCUAAGUGCUGUGAAGUCAGACCGUAAGGACUGGUGGAGCGCUUAGAAGUGAGAAUGCCGGUAUGAGUAGCGAAAGACAAGUGAGAAUCUUGUCCACCGAAUGCCUAAGGUUUCCUGAGGAAGGCUCGUCCGCUCAGGGUUAGUCGGGACCUAAGCCGAGGCUGAAAAGCGUAGGCGAUGGCCAACAGGUUGAUAUUCCUGUACCACCUCCCCGCCGUUUGAGUAAUGGGGGGACGCAGUAGGAUAGGGUAAGCGCGCUGCUGGAUAUGCGCGUUCAAGCAGUUAGGCUGAUGAGUAGGCAAAUCCGCUCAUCAUAAAGGCUGAGCUGUGAUGACGAGGGAAUUAUAGUACCGAAGUUCCUGAUUCCACACUGCCAAGAAAAGCCUCUAGCGAGGCGGGAGGUGCCCGUACCGCAAACCGACACAGGUAGGCGAGGAGAGAAUCCUAAGGUGAUCGAGAGAACUCUCGUUAAGGAACUCGGCAAAAUGACCCCGUAACUUCGGGAGAAGGGGUGCUCUGGUAGGGUGUAUAGCCCGAGAGAGCCGCAGUGAAUAGGCCCAGGCGACUGUUUAGCAAAAACACAGGUCUCUGCGAAGCCGCAAGGCGAAGUAUAGGGGCUGACGCCUGCCCGGUGCUGGAAGGUUAAGAGGAGGGGUUAUCCUUUGGGAGAAGCUCUGAAUCGAAGCCCCAGUAAACGGCGGCCGUAACUAUAACGGUCCUAAGGUAGCGAAAUUCCUUGUCGGGUAAGUUCCGACCCGCACGAAAGGCGUAACGAUCUGGGCACUGUCUCAACGAGAGACUCGGUGAAAUUAUAGUACCUGUGAAGAUGCAGGUUACCCGCGACAGGACGGAAAGACCCCGUGGAGCUUUACUGUAGCCUGAUAUUGAAUUUUGGUACAGCUUGUACAGGAUAGGUAGGAGCCUGAGAAGCCGGAGCGCUAGCUUCGGUGGAGGCGUCGGUGGGAUACUACCCUGGCUGUAUUGAAAUUCUAACCCGCGGCCCUGAUCGGGCCGGGAGACAGUGUCAGGUGGGCAGUUUGACUGGGGCGGUCGCCUCCUAAAAUGUAACGGAGGCGCCCAAAGGUUCCCUCAGAAUGGUUGGAAAUCAUUCGUAGAGUGUAAAGGCACAAGGGAGCUUGACUGCGAGACCUACAAGUCGAGCAGGGACGAAAGUCGGGCUUAGUGAUCCGGUGGUUCCGCAUGGAAGGGCCAUCGCUCAACGGAUAAAAGCUACCCCGGGGAUAACAGGCUUAUCUCCCCCAAGAGUCCACAUCGACGGGGAGGUUUGGCACCUCGAUGUCGGCUCAUCGCAUCCUGGGGCUGUAGUCGGUCCCAAGGGUUGGGCUGUUCGCCCAUUAAAGCGGUACGCGAGCUGGGUUCAGAACGUCGUGAGACAGUUCGGUCCCUAUCCGUCGUGGGCGUAGGAAAUUUGAGAGGAGCUGUCCUUAGUACGAGAGGACCGGGAUGGACACACCGCUGGUGUACCAGUUGUCUUGCCAAAGGCAUCGCUGGGUAGCUAUGUGUGGACGGGAUAAGUGCUGAAAGCAUCUAAGCAUGAAGCCCCCCUCAAGAUGAGAUUUCCCAUAGCGCAAGCUAGUAAGAUCCCUGAAAGAUGAUCAGGUUGAUAGGUCAGAGGUGGAAGCGUGGCGACAUGUGUAGCUGACUGAUACUAAUCGAUCGAGGACUUAACCAA